This 279-nucleotide ribosomal RNA is filed under the name uncultured bacterium. RNAcentral describes it as "partial 16S ribosomal RNA". It matches the Rfam family "Bacterial small subunit ribosomal RNA", at positions 506 to 784 of the family's 1533-position model. The record is from RNAcentral.
UGCCAGCCGCCGCGGUAAUACGGAGGGUGCAAGCGUUAUCCGGAUUUAUUGGGUUUAAAGGGUGCGCAGGCGGGGCAAUAAGUCAGUGGUGAAAGCCCAUCGCUUAACGAUGGAACUGCCAUUGAAACUGUUGCUCUUGAAUGUAGUUGAAGUGAACGGAAUGUAACAUGUAGCGGUGAAAUGCAUAGAUAUGUUACAGAACACCAAUUGCGAAGGCAGUUCACUAAGCUAUUAUUGACGCUCAGGCACGAAAGCGUGGGGAUCAAACAGGAUUAGAUA